This is a long non-coding RNA of Homo sapiens (human), 2887 nucleotides long. RefSeq lists it as uncharacterized. NCBI's taxonomy places the organism in Eukaryota, Metazoa, Chordata, Mammalia, Primates, Hominidae. The record is from RefSeq and is a predicted model, not a curated record. The transcript is spliced from 3 exons.
UACCUGAAUAAAUAUGAGAGGUAAGACAUAAAAUUCAAUAUAAAAUGUUUCUGGAAAUUUUAUCUAAAAUGGUUCUGACCUGACAGUGACGAGCCAGCCCUUCACGUUAGAGCCCAGUUUCUCCACCCUUGGUAGCCAAUGUGUGUCCCCACAGACACUGCCUAGAUCAGGCAACUGAACCUAGGUUUCCCCUGGGCAGUGGUCAGGGCUGAAGGGACACUUACUUUUUUUUUUUUUUGAGACAGAGUUUUGCUCAUUUCCCAGAUUGGAGUGCAGUGGCGCGAUCUCGGCUCACUGCAACCUCGGCUCACUGCAACCUCCAUGUCCUGGGUUCGAGCAGUUCUCCUGCCUCAGCCUCCCAAAUAGCUGGGAUUCUAGGCAUGCACCACCAUGCCCGGCUAAUUUUUGUAUUUUUAGUAGAGAUGGGUUUUCACCAUGUUGGCCAGGCUGGUCUCGAACUCCUGACCUCAGGUGAUCCGCCCGCCUCAGCCUCCCAAAGUGCUGGGAUUACAGGCAUGAACCACUGCACCCGGCCUACAUAGCAUUUAUAUUGUAUUAUAAGUAAUCUAGAGAAAAUUUUUUGUUUUCAGACAGGGUCUUGCUCUGUUGCCCAUGCUGGAACGCAGUGGCAUGAUGACGGCUCACUGCAGCCUCGACCUCCUAGGUUCCAUUGAUCCUCCUGCCUAAGCUUCCUAAGUAGCUGGGACUACCUGUGCUCAGCUAAUUUUUUAUUUUAUUUUAUUUUAUUUUAUUUUUGUUGUUGUUGUUGUUGUUGUUGUAUAGCUGGGGGUCUAAUCUUGGUCUCAGGCUGGGCUCAAACGAUCCGCCCGCCUCAGCCUCCCAAAGUGCUGGGCUCCCAAAGCACCCAGCCUACAGAUGAUUUAAAGCAUAGCUUAUAUGCAAAUGUUAAACUAUCUUAUAUAAGCAACUUGAGCACUUGUGGAUUUUGGUGUCCUCUGAGUCCUGGAACCAAUCUACCAUGGAUACUGAGGGACAACUGUGUGUUGUGUAGAGAGAGGAAAAAAUAAAUGAAAACACAGUGACCAAUGUUGUCACUGCAGUGUUUUUCCUGUCUGUAUCUCCAGAACCUAGAACACAGCAUGUGUUCAGAAAACAUUGAAUGAAUUAAUAUGGCCAAUGGGCAAUACCAUAGUGAUUCUCUUAUAUAAUUAAUACUUAAGGCCAGGCACGGUGGCUCACGCCUGUAAUCCCCACACUUUGGGAGGCCGAGACAGGCAGAUCACUUGAGGCCCAGGAGUUUGAGACCAGCCUGGCCAACAUGGCAAAACCCCAUCUCUUCUAAAGAUACAAAAAAAAAAAAAAAAAAAAAAAAUUAGCCGGGCAUGGCGGUGCAUGCCUGUAAUUUCAGUUACUCAAGUGGCUGAGGCACAAGAAUUGCUUGAACCUGGGAGGUGGAGGUUGCAGUGAGCCAAGACUGUGCCACUGACUCUAGCCUGGGCAACAUAGCAAGACUGUCUCAAAAUAAAAUCAAUAAAUAAAAGACAUAAAAUGUAUUUGUACUUGUGAUCUUAUAAAAGGAAGAGAAAACAAUUAAAGGAAAAUAUUUUCAUAACAAAUGAGAUAACCCCUCAACUAUUACAUUGAAAUAAAGACACCCAGUUUUAAGCCAGGCACCAUAGCUCACGCCUGUAAUUCCAGCACUUUGGGAGGCCAAGGUGGACGGAUUGCUAGAGGCCAGGAGUUCAAGACCAGCCUGAGCAACGUAGUGAGACCCCUAUCUCUACAAACCAUUUUAAAAAUUAGCCAAGCAUGGUGGUGCAUGCCUGUCGUUACAGCUACUCAGAAGGCUUUGGCAGGAGGAUCACUUGAACCCAUGAGAUCGAGGCUGCAGUCAGCCAUGAUCAUGCCACUGCAUUCCAGCCUGGGCAACAGAGCAAGACCCUGUCUUAAAAAUAAAAUAAAAUUAAAGGCUGGGCGUAGUGGUGUCUCAUGCCUGUAAUCCCAGAACUUUGGGAGGCUGAGGCGGGAGGAUCACUUGAGGUCAGGAGUUUGAGACCAGCCUGGCCAACAUGGUGAAACCCCAUUGCUACUAAAAAAUACCAAAAUUAGCCAGCCUUGGUGGCAGGCGCCUGUAAUCCCAGCUACUUGGGAGGCUGAGGCAGGAGAAUCACAUGAACCUGGGAGGUGGAGGUUGCAGUGAGCCGAGAUUGUGCCACUGUACUCCACCCUGGGUGACAGAGUGAGACUCCAUCUCAAAAAAAAUAAAUAAAUUUUAAAAGACACCCAGUUUCCCACAAUGAACAUGGUAGAUCACCUCUUGCUCUACCCAUAUGAAGCAAUUCGUAGUUCUGUAGCCGAGACUUGAUAUCUCAGGCCCUGCACCUUUCUUUACAGGCCUUUCCAUCUUCCUAGAGUGCCUAACCUGGCCUGUGUGCUUGUAAGCUUCUGCUCAUUCUUCAAUACCCAGCAGAGACUUCCUCCUCCAUGCAGCCUUCCAAGACCCACCUGAGUACAGAUCAGAUACCAUCAGCAUAAUGUCAUCAAUGCAGUGGACCAGUGUGACAUGGGGAACAUAAAGAUGGUCACGAUUUUUGCAGACUCCAUAUGCAAAGUAUUAUAGGCCUUUCCAUCUAUCCGGAGUGACCUACCAGAGACAGGACAGUUUGACCAGCAAGCUUCUGAUCACUCUUCAACACCCAGCAAGAAGUCUUAUCCUCCAUGCAGCCUUCUAAGACCUCUCUAAGCACAGGUAUCAGAUCCUCCUCUGGAUCACUCUGUCUUGUUACUGCAUUUAUCUCACUGGAUUUCAGUGACGUGUGUAGACAACUAAUUUGUGCCUGCCUGAUCUGUGAGCUCUUCAUUCAAAGCAGUUGGCUCCUGAGUACAGGAUAAACCCCUAGAAUUGAAUAAAUUUGGUCUUACCUCA